CACGUAGGGACCAAGCGUUGUCCGGAUUUAUUGGGCGUAAAGAGCUCGUAGGCGGUUCCGUAAGUCGGGUGUGAAAACUCUGGGCUUAACCCAGAGCCUGCAUCUGAUACUGCGGUGACUAGAGUCCGGUAGGGGAGUGGGGAACUCCUAGUGUAGCGGUGAAAUGCGCAGAUAUUAGGAGGAACACCGGUGGCGAAGGCGCCGCUCUGGGCCGGUACCGACGUUGAGGAGCGAAAGCGUGGGUAGCAAACAGG
RNAcentral lists this ribosomal RNA (254 nucleotides) under uncultured bacterium. RNAcentral describes it as "partial 16S ribosomal RNA". It matches the Rfam family "Bacterial small subunit ribosomal RNA", at positions 524 to 776 of the family's 1533-position model. The record is from RNAcentral.